This 137-nucleotide ribosomal RNA is filed under the name Castor canadensis (American beaver). Lineage: Eukaryota; Metazoa; Chordata; Mammalia; Rodentia; Castoridae. The record is from RNAcentral.
CAUUAUGGCCAUACCACAUUGAAUGGCGCCUAUCUCGUCUGAUCUCAGAAGCUAAGUAGGUUGGGCCUCGUUAGUACUUGGGUGAAGACGCUCUUCAGCAGAGACUGUCAGAGACAAGCAGUUUGGAGACAAAAGGG